UAUAGGAGACAGCAGUCGCCGCGGGAAAACCAGCAGCCCAAGUGGUGGUCGCGAUUAUUGGGCCUAAAGCGCUCGUAGCCGGGCCGGUAAGUCCCUUGUGAAAUCGGACGGCCUAACCGUUCGGCGUGCAAGGGAUACUGUCGGUCUUGAGGCCGGGAGACGUCCGAGGUACUCCGGGGGUAGCGGUGAAAUGUUCUGAUCCUCGGGGGACCACCGGUGGCGAAGGCGUUCGACGAGAACGGGCCUGACGGUGAGGGGCGAAGGCUAGGGGAGCAAACGGGAUUAGAUACCCCAGUAGUCCCUGUCUCUUAUU
RNAcentral lists this ribosomal RNA (313 nucleotides) under uncultured bacterium. RNAcentral describes it as "partial 16S ribosomal RNA". It matches the Rfam family "Archaeal small subunit ribosomal RNA", at positions 450 to 759 of the family's 1478-position model. The record is from RNAcentral.